Podarcis lilfordi (Lilford's wall lizard) is the source of this 133-nucleotide non-coding RNA. Lineage: Eukaryota; Metazoa; Chordata; Lepidosauria; Squamata; Lacertidae. The record is from the annotation of a GenBank genome assembly.
AUACUUACCUGGCAGAGGAGACACCUUGAUCAUGAAGGAGGUUUUCCCAGGGUAAGGCUCAUCUAUUGCACUGCCGGUGUGCCGACCCCUGCGAUUUCCCCAAUAUUAAUUAAUAAAUAAAUAAAUUACAUAC